This 236-nucleotide unclassified non-coding RNA is filed under the name uncultured Elaphomyces. Its description in RNAcentral is "sequence contains ITS1". Lineage: Eukaryota; Fungi; Ascomycota; Eurotiomycetes; Eurotiales; Elaphomycetaceae. The record is from RNAcentral.
CCGAGGUUUCCCGGGGGGCUCUCCCCCCCUCCCGGAAACGGGAGGGGGAGGCUCCCCCGAUCUCUCUUUUUCCACCGUGCUGAAUUGACCCCUGUUGCUUCAGCGGGCGGGCCUUGGAGGGUGAUGCUAGCUCCAACCCUCCACCGCCAGGAUGCCCGCUGGAGAUCUCCCUGUAACCUUCUGAUGGGCUUUUUAAGUGAAGAAUUUGUCUGAGUGGGCGUGAAAUUUUCGUUAUA